This 106-nucleotide small nuclear RNA is filed under the name Sus scrofa (pig). Lineage: Eukaryota; Metazoa; Chordata; Mammalia; Artiodactyla; Suidae. The record is from RNAcentral.
GUGCUAGCUUUGACAGCACAUAUUCUAAUACUGGAAAGAUACAGAGAGGAUUAGCAUGGCUCCGUCCAAGGAUGCCACGAAAAUUCGUGAAAUGUUCCGUAUUUUU